This 1657-nucleotide long non-coding RNA is filed under the name Amborella trichopoda. Its description in RNAcentral is "long non-coding RNA (ATRI_LNC003113)". The record is from RNAcentral. Lineage: Eukaryota; Viridiplantae; Streptophyta; Magnoliopsida; Amborellales; Amborellaceae.
UCUUCCAUGUGCUCACACUAAUUACUUUCUUUUUCGAGUUCUUUCUCUUUCCUGUUUUUGAAAUUCCACUUUCUUUUUGUUUUUUUGUCUUGAAUUUAUGUUGUUUGGUUUAUUUUAGGGUCGAUGCUUCCUUACUCCUUCAUGCUCCUAACUAAUCGGUCUCUAUUUUUCUUUCUUUAAUGGUAGUUUUUGCCUUUCCCCUUUAUUUUGGGGUGGGUAUUACUUCACUGGCACACUUCUAUGGACCUUUCUCACUCCUAUAACCAAUUUUUCUCUCUUUAAUUGCUUUUUCACAUGGACUUAAUGCAUCUUUAAGACCCACCCCUCUGUCUCUCUCUACGCUUUAAUUGUUGUGAUUUUUCUUUUUUCCUAUGUGUUGAUUUACUCCUUGUUUCUUUUUAGGUUUUAGGUUUGGAAAAAGGUUAUAAAAUGCCUUAAAAAUCCAUUGAAAAAGGGUGUUCUAUUGUUGAAAGACUCUCAAAUUGAUUAUCUCAACCUCAAAAUGUAUGGAGUAUAAACAAAUGGAGAUUUCAAAGCAUGACAAUAGUGUAUAUUGUUACGCAUUAUUUAGACUGUUCAUUUUCAAAACUUUUAAUCAUCUAAGAUAUGCUCGAUCUGUAUUAUUUUUCAAGCUUUAAAUUUCACAAUUAGAAGUGACAAUGGAUUUUCAUGCCGUAAGGCUUUUCGGCACCGACAUUGCACCUUUCAAGAUAAUUUAAAGUUCCACCUUAUUUCGAUUGUUUAAGAUUGAUGCCUUGUACAAAACCUCACCUUACAUGAGUCUGCGCUCACUUCGUUAUUCCUUCUCACUCCCAUUCACUCGUUUGUGUUUUCCCUUUUUUUGGGUUAUUUUUUUAUUUUGUUUUUGUAUUGAAUUUGUCGCUUAUAGUCAAAGUCUCUCUUUCUUUCAAACUCUCUCUCUCUCUAAGGUUUUUCCUAUUUCACAUUGAAUUUUAUCCUCAUUCAACUUUUCUUAUUUUCGUUCAUACGAUAAUUGUUUAAUAUUCCUACUCAAACAGCAUCUUCUUACUUUAUUCUCCCAUGCAUUCACACCAUGAUUUUGCUCAUUCUUCCCCCAUUUCUCAUAUUUCAUCUCAAUAAUCUCCCUUUUCCUGCCUUAUAUUCAACGAUAUGAGGCAUGAAUUACAUUUUAAAAUUAGUUAUUAAUCUUCUCUUCUCACUUCUUAAUUUUUCACCUUUAAUCUUCUAUUAUCUCACGCCUCUUAUUAUUUAUUAUUUUAAUGUGGAAUUUUAUUCCAUUCAUUACUUUAUGUUAUGCACCCUUAUAACCUAAUCUUAUCCCCCUCUCUCUCUGGAGUCUAGACUUCGUUCACACGUGCAUUCUGGUUGGGAGCUCACUUACUCCCUUCUCUUUAUCUCUCUAAAUUUCCUUUGGCACGUGCAUUCUAUGUUGGAGCUCACUUACUUCCCCUCUUUCUCUCUCUAGACUUCCUUUGGCACGUGCAUUCUGGAUGGACGCUCAGCGAACACGGUAACAGCCAAUCCUGACUGGUCACGUGGAUUGGGGGCACGGUUGCUUUGUCACGUCUCCUUAACCUAGCGCAACCGUCCACUCGAUGAUGUGUGUGAUGGAUUUGAUGGACAAAUGCACGGCGCUGAUCGCGUGGCACAUGACCAUGUGUCGCGCCUCUUUUGG